This is a small nucleolar RNA of Amaranthus tricolor (Joseph's coat), 95 nucleotides long. The record is from RefSeq and is a predicted model, not a curated record. Lineage: Eukaryota; Viridiplantae; Streptophyta; Magnoliopsida; Caryophyllales; Amaranthaceae.
UUCUAAUGCUUUGAUGACAAAAUUCUAUACCCAGCUCUUUGAGAUCUCUCUGAAGAUCCAGGAAAAUAAUAUGUUCAUUUUGUCUGAGCUUUUAA